This is a long non-coding RNA of Parus major (Great Tit), 1529 nucleotides long. RefSeq lists it as uncharacterized. Lineage: Eukaryota; Metazoa; Chordata; Aves; Passeriformes; Paridae. The record is from RefSeq and is a predicted model, not a curated record. The transcript has 4 exons.
UCCCUGCACUGGCACCAGGUUAAUAACUCCUUUAUCUCUACUGAAGUCUGGCAGCACUAUCAUCAUUCAUUUGUACUGGUGUGGUGAUCCAGAAGACACCUUGUCAACCUCAAUGAUGCUGUUGGGGCAGCAUAAACAAGGCACUCCUGUUUCUGAAACAGUCCCCUGUCACAUGCAGAGCAGCUGAUGGAACAGAGAACCACCUUUGUACACGCUCAGUGCCACCCAUGGAUACACAUUGCUGCUGGAGCCUGGUGCUGCUGGAGAGGUUACAUGGGACUGGAUGAGCUUUGCAACUUGGUUGAGAUACUGUGGCUUUAUGACUGCAUAAAGGAAGUCCAGGAGCUUGUCUCUCACUACCAAGUCAAGUUUCAUGUUCCACUCCAGAAGGAAUUUCUUUUGUUGGAAUGGCCCAAAUCAGGGUUUGGAGGCCUCAUCAUUUGGCAGCAGCUCAUCAGCUUGUCUUCUGGAUCUGUUUCUGAGGUGCUAUGGCCCUGUGAGAGGGUGUGCUCUGCUGCAGCUGGGGGGACACUUGAUGGUGUUUUGAGUGUUCAGGUGACCCUGAGUCUUGAAGAUACAAACAGGAAAUGCUUUUUAUAUGGGGAGACACUGACUGAAGAAAUACUACUACAGCUUCUAGUGGAAGAGCAUGUCACAUGUUGGGUGUUUUCAAACAAGAUGAUUUUAUUAUAACUGUUCUAAUUUGUUAUGAAUAAUUACCCUGAUCUGGUCAGAACCAUCAGAGACUGAAUGAAACCCAACUUUAUUCCAAGGACAAGUGCCCACUCAGUUUUAUAACUGCCCUUCAAAAAUUAAAUAUGAGUGCAGAUUAAGUCCUCUGGAAGGACAAGCCUGGACUUUACAUGACAGCCUGGCUGUGGGAAAGGCCCUAUCUCCAGUGCUCCUUGGGUGCUGAAUCAAACCAUAUGUUCAUCACAGCCAGGGAGAUGAGCUGAUGAUAUUCAAGCUUGCUUUUGUGUCUUCCAGUCCAGAGUAAAGUACAAUGGUUUCUGGGAUGCAUAAUCAGGAAGACAUUCGGUGCUUUGCCUCUUCCUGCCUUGCUUCUCUCAACUCUGACAAGGUGAACCUUUGUGGCAGAGAGGCGAUUCAAACCCUUCCAGUCAACUGACUUAACACAAUUCACAGCAAACAUGAAAUCUGCCACCUGUAUCACAAAAGGACAUGGUGGCAUAGGUGAAAAAUAAUCAGGGCAUACUUAUUUCAGGAAAUGUUCCAGGACACAUUAGAUGGAGCUUGGAGCAACUUGGUCUAUUGAGCAAUAUCCCUGCUUCUGUCAGGGAGCUUACAAUUAAAUGAUCUUUAUGGUCCCUUCUAGCCCAAAGCAUUCCAUGAUUAUUUACUUCUAUGACACAGAAAGCAUGUCAUGCCUUUGGUGAAGUGUCCCUAAGAAUGAAAAAUGAGAUUUCACUUCCUGUGUGUAUCAUGAUUAGCAGCUCUGUGAUGUGCAGCCAACUUUCCCUUGUAUUUGGAAAUAAAAGGAUACCUUCUUAUGGUAAGUAGUACCACAC